RNAcentral lists this ribosomal RNA (402 nucleotides) under uncultured bacterium. RNAcentral's name for it is "bacterial SSU rRNA". It matches the Rfam family "Bacterial small subunit ribosomal RNA", at positions 358 to 772 of the family's 1533-position model. The record is from RNAcentral.
GGAAUCUUGCACAAUGGGCGAAAGCCUGAUGCAGCAACGCCGCGUGCGGGAAGAAGGCCCUAGGGUUGUAAACCUCUUUCAGUAGGGAAGAAGCGAAAGUGACGGUACCUGCAGAAGAAGCGCCGGCUAACUACGUGCCCGCAGCCGCGGUAAUACGUAGGGCGCAAGCGUUAUCCGGAAUUAUUGGGCGUAAAGAGCUCGUAGGCGGUUUGUCGCGUCUGCCGUGAAAGUCCGGGGCUCAACUCCGGAUCUGCGGUGGGUACGGGCAGACUAGAGUGAUGUAGGGGAGACUGGAAUUCCUGGUGUAGCGGUGAAAUGCGCAGAUAUCAGGAGGAACACCGAUGGCGAAGGCAGGUCUCUGGGCAUUAACUGACGCUGAGGAGCGAAAGCAUGGGGAGCGAA